This 3423-nucleotide long non-coding RNA is filed under the name Vigna radiata. Its description in RNAcentral is "long non-coding RNA (VRAD_LNC000066)". The record is from RNAcentral. Lineage: Eukaryota; Viridiplantae; Streptophyta; Magnoliopsida; Fabales; Fabaceae.
CUUAUUCUCUUAUUCUCUCCCAUGCCUUUUAUAGCCUUCCCACUUGUUCUUUCUCUCUUAAAUUUCACCUUCAAUUUCUCAUCCUUUUCAAAAUCAAAUUGCACCAUAGUGAAAUUGAGAAGCUAAGGAACAUUUAGGACCAAUCAAUUUCGUCUUUUGAGUAAUGCCCAUUUUUCAUUCAAAUGAUAUAUUUUCUCUCUUGCAUGUGGUUUCUUUCGGUUGCAUGUAUUUUAUCUGCCUUCUAGAAGAAUCUCUAUCCGUUGGUGGUCAUAAAAUUGAGCUCUGAUCGUUGAUCAAACUUUUGUUUGUGUAGAUAGAGAAAUUAUACGUUUUGAAGCUGUGUAGGAGAAAAUCAAUGUUAGUAAUUUUCCCUCUUUUAAUUGAUAAUUGUUGGAAGUCCCACAUCGACUAGAGAUGAGGUCAUUUAAGUGUAUAUAAGUGGGUGCAAACCUCACCCUACAAGCCGGUUUUGUGGNNNNNUUUGUGGGGUUGAGUUAGGCUUAAAGUCCACUUCUAACAUGGUAUCAGAGCCAUGACUGGAACCCAUCCUAGCGAUUUCUGUUGUCGUUGGGCAUAUUGAUCCACCCGCUAUCGGACCACCCAUUACCUCGGCGUGAGGGGGGUGUGUUGGAAGUCCCACAUCGACUAGAGAUGAGGUCAUUUAAGUGUAUAUAAGUGGGUGCAAACCUCAAAUGGAAACCUAAGAUGUACUUAAAAUUGAAUGUGAAUUAGAGAUUUUUAUUGUUGCUUUGCAUAUUAUGUAGUCUUUUGAAUGUUAAUUUUGUGAAAUUGUUGAAGAAUAGUCUAUUUUAUGCAUACUGAGUAAUGUAUCAAUGUAGAACGAAAAAUGGUAUUGAGAGGGUUGGGGCUUGGCAGAAAAAUGUUUCAUCUAGAAAUAUAUUGAAAUGAAGUAUACCCGACGGAAUUAAAUACGUAUGACAAAUGUGCACUAGAAUGAGAGACAUUGAAUGAUAUUUGAUAUGUUGAACAAUUUAAAUUGAUUCUUAUGCAUGAUGUAAGAUCGGUAAAUAGUACUUUAGUAUAAAUGAAAGUAUUGAAUGAAUAUUGUAUAUGAAACUGUUAUAUAUAUGAAGUUUGUAUAAAUGAGGUUAUAAGAUAGAUGACUUAUGAGAAAUUGUUGAAUGAUUGUGAACUUGAUGAUGGUAUGGUAAACUGAUGUGCACUGUGAUGGUACUUACAACCACUAUGUUUCUUGAAAGUAUAGUCUAUGAAGAUUAAAAGCAUAGACAGAUUUAAGUAUAACUUAGACGGUAUGUAGAAUCUAUUUUGAUUUAUGAAAGGCGUUACUUUAGGAAUUGUGCAAAUUGUGGUUAAUGGUUAAAGGUAGAUAAGAAUAACCUAAAGCUAGGUAAGACACUUAAUUUGUACUAAAACUAGUUUCUAUUGCAUCAUCGUUGGGCAUUAAGUAAGCACCAUCGGGUGCCACUUUAAAAAUUUGUAAAUCUAGGUGAGUCCAAGUGUAUUGAAGGGAAUUUGUUGUGUGAGACUAUCCUGACUCUAUUAGUAUCUAAUUUACAUAGAGGAAGAUAAUUGGAUGGUGAGAGUCGAUUUAGGCUUCACAAAGCAGACAAGAUGAUAUGAAAUAGGAUCAUAUCUUGGGAGCCACUAAAGUUAAUCCUGUCAUGACUUGUUGAGGAACAUGAGUUCAUGGAUGUGAUUAUAAUAUGAAGAAAUUGGUGGUAAGUAUGAAAAGUGCAAAGUCUCACAAAUCUAUUCAAUACUAGUUAUUUAGGAAGCAAAGUCUAGAUUUUGUGUGUUAUUUGAGCCACUUUGAGUUGUAUGAUUUUGAAGCCUUGUAGGCUGAUACCUAGUAAUUGAUUUGAUGAAUGUGAACUAUUUAUGUUAUUAGGCUGGUUUAUAAAAUGAAUAAUUUGUUGUUUGAGCGAGUUGGAUUGAGAUUUGAAUGAGCUAGUUGGAUAAAGCCGUAGGGAUUGAUGUUGAUAGUUAAUCUAGAUGAAUGAGAAAUAUGUGAGUCCUUUUUAUAUUGCGAGUAAUUGACUAAUGAAAUUAUGAAAGACAUUAGACAUGUUAAUCUAAGAAUUGGUUCUUCUCUAAAAAAUAAGUUAAUGACAUUAUCAUAUAUUUUGAUAUAUUGCCAUAUCCUAUAUAUAUAUAUAUAUAUAUAUUAGUUCUCUUCAUUUAAAAUGCAUUAGCUUAUCUUUGCAAUUGUUUUGAUUGUGGUUUUGGUCGUAUUAUUUAUAUGGGAGAAGAUGAAGGUGCAGGUAGUAGUACAAAACAACAAGUCUUUAUAUGGAAGAAGGUGAAAGUGCAGGUAGUAGUACAAAACAACAGGUCUUGAGUGGGUAGGAACAUGGUGUGAUUUAUAGAGUUGGAGAAUUUUCUAUAUGUGUGUAUUAUAAAGUAUAUUUUGCUGUCCUCUUAGAUUAUAUUUUAUAGAAUGUUUAAACAUUUUGUAAUAAGAUAAAUGGAGGACUGUAAAUAUACUCUACAAUUAUGUGACUGAUUAUGCUUUAUAUCAAUCAGGUAAUAUCUCACUUAGUAGGAAAAUUUAGCUAAAGGGGAGUGUUACGGUUGAUCUACUUGCAACUUAAUCUACUCGUUUCUUUUCUUUUUCAUUUUCAAAAUAUGCAUAUGAUGUAGUUGGUGUUGUAGGUUGAGAAUCAGAUUGAGGUGAAAUUAGGGAUUGACUAGUUGCAGAUAUCUCCCUUUCAAGGUUCAUGUGGACCUUAUCAAGAUUGAUAUUGUCCUGCACAAGUUGAAGAAUAUUGCAAGAAACUAUCUUCCUACUAAUGCCACAUUAGUUAACAAAUUCAACAUUAGGGUUUAUUCUUAAAACUACCAAAUCACUAUGCGUUUUACCAAGUCUGUGGUCCUAACUGUGAACUAAUUGGCCUCCCAAAAUGACAAGCUCAUGUAUACUUUUGACAAAGGUUCCAAAAUGACAGACUAAUUCAACCUAACACUUCCAAAUAAUUAUUAAGGCAUAAUAUUAAAAGUAUUAAAAUACAUACCUUCUAAUUUGUGAUUAUGAACAAAAUCAAGGAGUCACGAUCGAACCUGCAAAACAUGAAGCAGAGUACAAAUCCCAAAUCUCCAAUAACCACUCCACCAUCAAUUUUAAUUUGUCCAAAGCAAUGUAACAAAAACACUAAAAAUUAGGCAAAGAAGUGAGCUGGGCAUGAAAAAGAGGGAAAGCGAAAAUAAAUUCUGGAAAUCGAAAGAGAAUAUUGGAAUUUAGGCAAAGAACUCAAUUAGGGCAUGAGAAAGAGAGGAAUUGAAAAUCAAUUCAGAAAAUUGAAACAGAGCAGUAAAACAUACCACGCCACACACAGUCAAAAUGAAAGCCAAAAAACCAAACUGAGAUAAAAAAAAAAAAAAAAAAAUUGAUAGAGGAAGAGCUGACUGAGCUUCAAACUGAUACAACAAGGAGCGAAAACAACA